RNAcentral lists this ribosomal RNA (440 nucleotides) under uncultured bacterium. Its description in RNAcentral is "partial 16S ribosomal RNA". It matches the Rfam family "Bacterial small subunit ribosomal RNA", at positions 338 to 795 of the family's 1533-position model. The record is from RNAcentral.
CCUACGGUUGGCUGCAGUGAGGAAUAUUGCACAAUGGAGGAAACUCUGAUGCAGCAACGCCGCGUGGAGGAUGACGCAUUUCGGUGUGUAAACUCCUUUUAUUAGGGAAGAUUAUGACGGUACCUAAUGAAUAAGCACCGGCUAACUCCGUGCCAGCAGCCGCGGUAAUACGGAGGGUGCAAGCGUUACUCGGAAUCACUGGGCGUAAAGGGUGCGUAGGCUGGCUUUUAAGUCAGUUGUGAAAUCCAAUGGCUUAACCAGUGAACUGCAUUUGAAACUGAGAGCCUAGAGUUCAGAAGGGGCAGAUGGAAUUAGUGGUGUAGGGGUAAAAUCCGUAGAUAUCACUAGGAAUAUCAAAAGCGAAGGCGAUCUGCUGGGAUGAUACUGACGCUGAGGCACGAAAGCGUGGGGAGCAAACAGGAUUAGAUACCCCAGUAGUC